CCUACGGGUGGCAGCAGUGAGGAAUAUUGGUCAAUGGACGAGAGUCUGAACCAGCCAAGUAGCGUGAAGGAUGACUGCCCUAUGGGUUGUAAACUUCUUUUAUAUGGGAAUAAAAUGUUCCACGUGUGGGAUUUUGUAUGUCCCAUAUGAAUACGGAUCGGCUAACUCCGUGCCAGCAGCCGCGGUAAUACGGAGGAUCCGAGCGUUAUCCGGAUUUAUUGGGUUUAAAGGGAGCGUAGGUGGAUGUUUAAGUCAGUUGUGAAAGUUUGCGGUGCAACCGUAAAAUUGCAGUUGAAACUGGCAGUCUUGAGUACAGUAGAGGUGGGCGGAAUUCGUGGUGUAGCGGUGAAAUGCUUAGAUAUCACGAAGAACUCCGAUUGCGAAGGCAGUUCACUGGACUGCAACUGACACUGAGGCUCGAAAGUGUGGGUAUCAAACAGGAUUAGAUACCCGAGUAGUC
RNAcentral lists this ribosomal RNA (460 nucleotides) under uncultured bacterium. RNAcentral describes it as "partial 16S ribosomal RNA". It matches the Rfam family "Bacterial small subunit ribosomal RNA", at positions 338 to 795 of the family's 1533-position model. The record is from RNAcentral.